AUUGAACGCUGGCGGCAGGCCUAACACAUGCAAGUCGAACGGCAGCGGGGGAUAGCUUGCUAUCCUGCCGGCGAGUGGCGGACGGGUGAGUAAUGCAUGGGGAGCUGCCCAAUCGAGGGGGAUAACAACUGGAAACGGUUGCUAAUACCGCAUACGCCCUGCGGGGAAAGGUGGGGACCUUCGGGCCUACCGCGAUUGGAUGCACCCAUGUGGGAUUAGCUAGUUGGUGAGGUAACGGCUCACCAAGGCGACGAUCUCUAGCUGGUCUGAGAGGAUGACCAGCCACACUGGAACUGAGACACGGUCCAGACUCCUACGGGAGGCAGCAGUGGGGAAUAUUGCACAAUGGGGGAAACCCUGAUGCAGCCAUGCCGCGUGUGUGAAGAAGGCCUCGGUUGUAAAGCACUUCAGUGGGAGGAAGGGCGUGGAUGACUAAUAUUCAUCAGCAUUGACGUUACCACAGAAGAAGCACCGGCUAACUCCGU
This 485-nucleotide ribosomal RNA is filed under the name uncultured bacterium. Its description in RNAcentral is "bacterial SSU rRNA". It matches the Rfam family "Bacterial small subunit ribosomal RNA", at positions 30 to 506 of the family's 1533-position model. The record is from RNAcentral.